GCGUCCGUGUUCUAGCGGCUACGAUUCCAUCCUUCCAAGUUGGAGACAGGGGUUCGAUUCCCUUCGGGCGCA
RNAcentral lists this transfer RNA (72 nucleotides) under Candidatus Methanoperedens sp. RNAcentral describes it as "tRNA-Gly". It matches the Rfam family "tRNA". Rfam says of the family: Transfer RNA (tRNA) molecules are approximately 80 nucleotides in length. Lineage: Archaea; Methanobacteriati; Methanobacteriota; Methanomicrobia; Methanosarcinales; Candidatus Methanoperedentaceae. The record is from RNAcentral.